UGGGGAAUCUUGCACAAUGGGCGAAAGCCUGAUGCAGCAACGCCGCGUGCGGGAAGAAGGCCCUCGGGUUGUAAACCGCUUUCAGAAGGAACGAAACUGACGGUACUUUCAGAAGAAGGUGCGGCCAACUACGUGCCAGCAGCCGCGGUGACACGUAGGCACCAAGCGUUGUCCGGAUUUAUUGGGCGUAAAGAGCUCGUAGGCGGUUCAGUAAGUCGGGUGUGAAAACUUUGGGCUUAACCCAAAGCGUGCAUCCGAUACUGCUGUGACUUGAGUACGGUAGGGGAGCGGGGAAUUCCUAGUGUAGCGGUGAAAUGCGCAGAUAUUAGGAGGAACGCCGGUGGCGAAGGCGCCGCUCUGGGCCGAAACUGACGCUGAGGAGCGAAAGCAUGGGUAGCAAACAGGAUUAGAUACCCCCGUAGUCCCUGAGCGGGCUGGCAAGGCGCAU
RNAcentral lists this ribosomal RNA (448 nucleotides) under uncultured bacterium. Its description in RNAcentral is "bacterial SSU rRNA". It matches the Rfam family "Bacterial small subunit ribosomal RNA", at positions 355 to 825 of the family's 1533-position model. The record is from RNAcentral.